AACCUUAUGGACCUGCGGGCGUAUACCUGCGGAAGGAUCAUUACCGAGUUUUCAACUCCCUAACCCUUCUGUGAACCUACCUAUCGUUGCUUCGGCGGACUCGCCCCAGCCCGGACGCGGACUGGACCAGCGGCCCGCCGGGGACCUCAAACUCUUGUAUUCCAGCAUCUUCUGAAUACGCCGCAAGGCAAAACAAAUGAAUCAAAACUUUUAGCAAUGGAUCUCAGAUCGGAAGAGCAC
RNAcentral lists this unclassified non-coding RNA (240 nucleotides) under soil metagenome. Its description in RNAcentral is "partial contains 5.8S ribosomal RNA, internal transcribed spacer 2, and large subunit ribosomal RNA". The record is from RNAcentral.